Molecule: ribosomal RNA, 499 nt
Filed under: uncultured bacterium
Lineage: Bacteria
Description: partial 16S ribosomal RNA
Rfam family: Bacterial small subunit ribosomal RNA
Source: RNAcentral
GAUGAACGCUGGCGGCGUGCCUAACACAUGCAAGUCGAGCGUGAUUGUUGCGAGUGGAGACUUCGGUUGAAGCGAACAACAUGAAAGCGGCGGACGGGUGAGUAACGCGUGGGCAACCUGCCCCAUACAGCGGAAUAGCCACUGGAAACGGUGAUUAAUGCCGCAUAAGACCACAGAGUCGCAUGGCUCGGAGGUCAAAGAUUUAUCGGUAUGGGAUGGGCCCGCGUCUGAUUAGCUAGUUGGUGAGGUAACGGCUCACCAAGGCGACGAUCAGUAGCCGACCUGAGAGGGCGGACGGCCACACUGGAACGGAGACACGGUCCAGACUCCUACGGGAGGCAGCAGUGGGGAAUAUUGCACAAUGGGCGCAAGCCUGAUGCAGCAACGCCGCGUGAGUGAAGAAGGCCUUCGGGUCGUAAAGCUCCGUCCUUUGGGAAGAAGAAAGUGACGGUACCAAAGGAGGAAGCCCCGGCUAACUACGUGCCAGCCGCCGCGGUAA